GUGCUUGCUUCGGCAGCACAUAUACUAAAAUUAGAAUGAUACAGAGAAGAUUAGCAUGGCCCCUGUGCAAGGAUGAUAUGCAAAUUCGUGAAGCGUUCCAUAUUUAU
Molecule: small nuclear RNA, 107 nt
Filed under: Saimiri boliviensis boliviensis (Bolivian squirrel monkey)
Lineage: Eukaryota; Metazoa; Chordata; Mammalia; Primates; Cebidae
Source: RNAcentral